CAGUGGGUACGGGAAUUCCUGGUGUAGCGGUGGAAUGCGCAGAUAUCAGGAGGAACACCGAUGGCGAAGGCAGAUCUCUGGGCCGUAACUGACGCUGAGGAGCGAAAGGGUGGGGAGCAAACAGGCUUAGAUACCCUGGUAGUCCACCCCGUAAACGUUGGGAACUAGUUGUGGGGUCCAUUCCACGGAUUCCGUGACGCAGCUAACGCAUUAAGUUCCCCGCCUGGGGAGUACGGCCGCAAGGCUAAAACUCAAAGGAAUUGACGGGGACCCGCACAAGCGGCGGAGCAUGCGGAUUAAUUCGAUGCAACGCGAAGAACCUUACCAAGGCUUGACAUAUACGAGAACGGUCCAGAAAUGGUCAACUCUUUGGACACUCGUAAACAGGUGGUGGGAAUUCCUGGUGUAGCGGUGGAAUGCGCAGAUAUCAGGAGGAACACCGAUGGCGAAGGCAGAUCUCUGGGCCGUAACUGACGCUGAGGAGCGAAAGGGUGGGGAGCAAACAGGCUUAGAUACCCUGGUAGUCCACCCCGUAAACGUUGGGAACUAGUUGUGGGGUCCAUUCCACGGAUUCCGUGACGCAGCUAACGCAUUAAGUUCCCCGCCUGGGGAGUACGGCCGCAAGGCUAAAACUCAAAGGAAUUGACGGGGACCCGCACAAGCGGCGGAGCAUGCGGAUUAAUUCGAUGCAACGCGAAGAACCUUACCAAGGCUUGACAUAUACGAGAACGGUCCAGAAAUGGUCAACUCUUUGGACACUCGUAAACAGGUGGU
RNAcentral lists this ribosomal RNA (774 nucleotides) under Microbacterium sp. DV2. RNAcentral describes it as "bacterial SSU rRNA". The stretch from base 298 to 774 matches the Rfam family "Bacterial small subunit ribosomal RNA", at positions 1 to 1042 of the family's 1533-position model. The record is from RNAcentral. Lineage: Bacteria; Bacillati; Actinomycetota; Actinomycetes; Micrococcales; Microbacteriaceae.